RNAcentral lists this small nucleolar RNA (204 nucleotides) under Dasypus novemcinctus (nine-banded armadillo). Its description in RNAcentral is "Small nucleolar RNA SNORA73 family (ENSDNOG00000039102.1)". It matches the Rfam family "Small nucleolar RNA SNORA73 family". From Rfam's summary of the family: U17 (SNORA73A and SNORA73B) also known as E1 belongs to the H/ACA class of small nucleolar RNAs (snoRNAs). Lineage: Eukaryota; Metazoa; Chordata; Mammalia; Cingulata; Dasypodidae. The record is from RNAcentral.
CCAACGUGGAAAGCGCGGGAGGUCACUCUCUCCGGGCUCUGUCCCGGUGGUACAGGGGAGCACAGGGCUCUGCCCAGUGAGGUACAGUCCCCUUCCACGAUGCUGGAGAUGAAGCUGGGUGUCGAGCCUGCACCUGCACAUUCCUACAGCUUCUCAGGGUCCUGUGGACAAUGACUGAGGAGAAAAACCAUGCAGGGAGCAGCU